AACGAACGCUGGCGGCAUGCCUAACACAUGCAAGUCGAACGAGACCAAGGCUUCGGCCUGAAGUCUAGUGGCGCACGGGUGCGUAACGCGUGGGAAUCUACCCUUGGGUUCGGAAUAACAGUUAGAAAUGACUGCUAAUACCGGAUGAUGACGUAAGUCCAAAGAUUUAUCGCCCAGGGAUGAGCCCGCGUAAGAUUAGCUUGUUGGUGAGGUAAAGGCUCACCAAGGCGACGAUCUUUAGCUGGUCUGAGAGGAUGAUCAGCCACACUGGGACUGAGACACGGCCCAGACUCCUACGGGAGGCAGCAGUGGGGAAUAUUGGACAAUGGGCGAAAGCCUGAUCCAGCAAUGCCGCGUGAGUGAUGAAGGCCUUAGGGUUGUAAAGCUCUUUUACCCGGGAUGAUAAUGACAGUACCGGGAGAAUAAGCUCCGGCUAACUCCGUGCCAGCAGCCGCCGUAAC
Molecule: ribosomal RNA, 461 nt
Filed under: uncultured bacterium
Lineage: Bacteria
Description: bacterial SSU rRNA
Rfam family: Bacterial small subunit ribosomal RNA
Source: RNAcentral